Molecule: non-coding RNA, 213 nt
Filed under: Afipia felis (cat scratch disease bacillus)
Lineage: Bacteria; Pseudomonadati; Pseudomonadota; Alphaproteobacteria; Hyphomicrobiales; Nitrobacteraceae
Source: RNAcentral
CAUAUUUCAACCCGUCGAGGUCUUCGUCAUCGCGUUGAUGCGAAGCUAAGAGGGAAGCCGGUGAAGCAUUGAUGCGCUUAAUCCGGCGCUGCCCCCGCAACUGUGAGCGGCGAGCCUGCAUCCAUUCGUGUCACUGAGGCGUCUCGCUUUGGGAAGACGGAUGUGGGCCGCGACCCGUAAGCCAGGAGACCUGCCGCGACGAGAUGUUUCCAC